AUUGAACGCUGGCGGCAGGCUUAACACAUGCAAGUCGAGCGGGGAAAGGUAGCUUGCUACCUGACCUAGCGGCGGACGGGUGAGUAAUGCUUAGGAGUCUGCCUAUUAGGGGGGGACAACAUUCCGAAAGGAAUGCUAAUACCGCAUACGCCCUACGGGGGAUAGCAGGGGAUCUUGGGACCUUGCGCUAAUAGAUGAGCCUAAGUCAGAUUAGCUAGUUGGUGGGGUAAAGGCCUACCAAGGCGACGAUCUGUAGCGGGUCUGAGAGGAUGAUCCGCCACACUGGGACUGAGACACGGCCCAGACUCCUACGGGAGGCAGCAGUGGGGAAUAUUGGACAAUGGGCGAAAGCCUGAUCCAGCCAUGCCGCGUGUGUGAAGAAGGCCUUUUGGUUGUAAAGCACUUUAAGCGAGGAGGAGGCUACUUGGAUUAAUACUCUAGGAUAGUGGACGUUACUCGCAGAAUAAGCACCGGCUAACUCUGUGCCAGCAGCCGCCGUAA
RNAcentral lists this ribosomal RNA (501 nucleotides) under uncultured bacterium. RNAcentral describes it as "partial 16S ribosomal RNA". It matches the Rfam family "Bacterial small subunit ribosomal RNA", at positions 30 to 523 of the family's 1533-position model. The record is from RNAcentral.